AUGUCGGGUUGCGAGGUGUUGUUAUUUGUGUGUAGGUGCUAUUUAUGUUGUGUUGCUUGGUUCUCCUCCUGGUUCGAUAACCUUGGUUUCUUCAUUGAGGGAAAUACCUACUGUCGUUGUGCUGCAUCAUCCCCUCCUCUUUGGGGAAAUACCGACGUAGUCCUAGAAGACAAGAGCUUUUCUGAUGCUAUAGUCAGAGAGCGAUCAAAAGGAAUUUCUGGCGCCGUUGCCAGGGAGGAUCUUCUACAUAACCAGGUUCCUAAUCACAAAUCUCAUCUCCUCGCAAUUUACAUUAUUUGA
This 300-nucleotide ribosomal RNA is filed under the name Triticum aestivum (bread wheat). RNAcentral's name for it is "partial small subunit ribosomal RNA". Lineage: Eukaryota; Viridiplantae; Streptophyta; Magnoliopsida; Poales; Poaceae. The record is from RNAcentral.